CUAGGAUGAACGCUAGCUACAGGCUUAACACAUGCAAGUCGAGGGGCAGCAUUGGGAUAGCUUGCUAUUCAGAUGGCGACCGGCGCACGGGUGAGUAACGCGUAUCCAACCUUCCUGCCAGUAGGGAACAGCCCGGCGAAAGUCGGAUUAAUGCCCUAUGUUCUUCAAUGCGGACAUCUAAGUUGAAGGAAAGAUUCAUCGCUGGCAGAUGGGGAUGCGUCCGAUUAGCUUGCCGGCGGGUAACGGCCCACCGGGGCGACGAUCGGCAGGGGUUCUGAGAGGAAGGUCCCCCACACUGGUACUGAGGCACGGACCAGACUCCUACGGGAGGCAGCAGUGAGGAAUAUUGGUCAAUGGGCGUAAGCCUGAACCAGCCAAGUAGCGUGCAGGAUGACGGCCCUACGGGUUGUAAACUGCUUUUAUGCGGGGAUAAAGUGCGGCACGUGUGCCGCUUUGCAGGUACCGCAUGAAUAAGGACCGGCUAAUUCCGUGCCAGCCGCAGC
RNAcentral lists this ribosomal RNA (503 nucleotides) under uncultured bacterium. RNAcentral describes it as "bacterial SSU rRNA". It matches the Rfam family "Bacterial small subunit ribosomal RNA", at positions 26 to 518 of the family's 1533-position model. The record is from RNAcentral.